This 499-nucleotide long non-coding RNA is filed under the name Homo sapiens (human). RNAcentral describes it as "non-protein coding lnc-OPTC-2:2". The record is from RNAcentral. Lineage: Eukaryota; Metazoa; Chordata; Mammalia; Primates; Hominidae.
AGAGCAAGUUUAACCUUUUAAAGAGGAAGGAUCUGUUGCUUGGCUACCAGGCAACAAGGUAACGAGUGGAAAUGGGGAACAGAAAUGGAGAAAGGAGACCUAGAAGAGGGGCGGUGGAGAAAGGGCAGGAACCCCUCAUGGGCUGGAGCCUGCAGAGGGAGGGAGAAAGUGAGCAGCUUCCAGGAGGUGUGGGGCUUUGAAGAAAGGGAACAGAGAGCAUUUGAAGGAAGUGUGGGUGUAAUGCAGGCCACCGUCUCCAGAAGACUCAGGCAGGUGCUUCACUGUGUCUUAAAGCUUUUAGAGUCAGAUACUGGGUUCUUUAGGGUGUGUCUCCAGCUUGAAGUGUGCCUCACAGUAGACGCAGGAAGGCCUUGUUUGAUUUGGGUUACAGGAGAAGCAGAGGCCCCUGUUUGGGGCUGCACUGUGGAGACUGGAAUUUGGGUAGAAGGGGCCACUGCUCCCGCUUGGAUACUAACCAGCUGUGUGGCCUCAGGCAUGU